AUUGAACGCUGGCGGCAGGCCUAACACAUGCAAGUCGAGCGGAUGAAGGGGGCUUGCUCCUGGAUUCAGCGGCGGACGGGUGAGUAAUGCGCAGGAAUCUACCUCGUAGUGGGGGAUAACGUCUCGAAAGGGGCGCUAAUACCGCAUACGUUCUGAGGAAGAAAGCAGGGGACCUUCGGGCCUUGCGCUAUGAGAUGAGCUUGCGUCCGAUUAGCUAGUUGGUGGGGUAAAGGCCUACCAAGGCGACGAUCGGUAACUGGUCUGAGAGGAUGAUCAGUCACACUGGAACUGAGACACGGUCCAGACUCCUACGGGAGGCAGCAGUGGGGAAUACUGGACAAUGGGGGCAACCCUGAUCCAGCCAUGCCGCGUGUGUGAAGAAGGCC
This 386-nucleotide ribosomal RNA is filed under the name uncultured bacterium. RNAcentral's name for it is "bacterial SSU rRNA". It matches the Rfam family "Bacterial small subunit ribosomal RNA", at positions 30 to 416 of the family's 1533-position model. The record is from RNAcentral.